CCCUUUACACAUCUCCGCACAACCUCAGCAUGCAGAGCAGCUCUUUCCCACAACUAAGGAAGACUGAAAAGUCUUCGGAGCAUCAUUUUUUACUGUGCUCAUCUCCGUAACUCCACGUGCACUAGGCAAAUGACAGAUAAAAUUUAAAGAAAAAUAACAGCAUUGCAACACAAUGGUGUUCACAACACUGUCUUUUGCCUGCUGUAUGGACCAGAAGCCAAAGGAAGACUUCAGGAGCCCAAAGAAAAAGAACUUCAUUAGUUCUGAAGACUGCUCAGUAGGCAACAUGUUGAAUACAAGAUCAGUUUGAACUGUAGUUUUUCUGCAAGCUUCCAGUAUUGUCUUGUCAUCAGCCCGUGAGUCUUACGUGAAUGAUUCCUGCUC
Molecule: long non-coding RNA, 384 nt
Filed under: Anser brachyrhynchus (Pink-footed goose)
Lineage: Eukaryota; Metazoa; Chordata; Aves; Anseriformes; Anatidae
Description: lncRNA (ENSABRG00000021855.1)
Source: RNAcentral